CCUACGGGUGGCUGCAGUGAGGAAUAUUGGUCAAUGGACGAAAGUCUGAACCAGCCAAGUAGCGUGAAGGAUGACUGCCCUAUGGGUUGUAAACUUCUUUUAUAAAGGAAUAAAACGAGGCACGUGUGCCUUUUUGCAUGUACUUUAUGAAUAAGGAUCGGCUAACUCCGUGCCAGCAGCCGCGGUAAUACGGAGGAUCCGGGCGUUAUCCGGAUUUAUUGUGUUUAAAGGGAGCGUAGAUGGGUUGUUAAGUCAGUUGUGAAAGUUUGCGGCUCAACCGUAAAAUUGCAAUUGAUACUGGCAGGCGUGAGUAUAGUUGAGGUAGGUGGAAUUCGUGGUGUAGCGGUGAAAUGCUUAGAGAUCACGAAGAACACCGAUGGCGAAGGCAGCUCACUAAACUGUGACUGACAUUGAUGCUCGAAAGUGUGGGUAGCAAACAGGAUUAGAUACCCUAGUAGUC
Molecule: ribosomal RNA, 460 nt
Filed under: uncultured bacterium
Lineage: Bacteria
Description: partial 16S ribosomal RNA
Rfam family: Bacterial small subunit ribosomal RNA
Source: RNAcentral